CUCACACUCCGUUGUCAGGACAAUAACGCUGAAAGCAUUUGAAAUUUAUCAAUUUUCACUCUAGCAGAAGGCAUUUAGCGACAGCUGUAAACAGAAUGGCAGAAGAACCUUUUGAGAGGACGGAAAAGAAACCCGAGCCUGUCAGCAUUACCUCCCCUGAAAUGUAAGAAACUGGUGGAUUCCAAGACAAAAUUGUGGAAAAUGGAGACAUCCUCAAAUAACAGAAAGAAAUAAAGGCUGAAGAGGCAGGAUCACAGAUGUCAGAUGAAAGUUACCGCAAAAAAGGUUAAGUUGGAAAAGAGUGAAAAUGAAAAUGGAUGCUUGUGCAGUGACUGAAGUUGAAGUCAUAAAUUGAGGAUGAUGAAGCUACACGAAAAAGCUCUCAGCUCUACAGUCCGAGUCUGACCGACUUGUCCGACGAGCCACUGUCGGCGGCACUGCGAUCGCAGGCCCCUCACGGUGUGUGCUUACUCAGGCAAGUGUCGUGGGGAUUUGUUAAUGUAGAGGCUGACUGUACGCUGUAGGUGUCUGCAGACUUCCAUCAUUAGAGGAACAGUUCUAUGAACAGUACAUGCCAUUCUCGGGAGUGUGGACCACUUCGUUGGUUACUCGAGUUCCACAUCUGACCCCAGAACUGUCAUUUACUGCAGCUAGGCAUUUAGCACUAAUAAAAUGUGAGUUACAUAAAAUGGAAGUGUCCGACAUAUCAGCAGCCGUGAAGAUAUGAAAAUUUAAAGGUAUCUCCAUUUUGAGCAGUACAAACUUUAGAAUUAUUAUUCUAAUUUGUUAAUCCUGUGGUGUAGUCCACGUACUGUGUGAAAGUGACUUGUCAACAUAUGAUCGAAGAACAUUUAUUAUAAACUUUCCUGGUGAUCUCAGUGAACUGCAUUUGGUAAUAUCAAGACCUAUGAACUGGUUAAGAGACUUACUCAGUUAUAAAACUUUUGUGCCUGUGUUUGUUUAUAUUAUGCAUUAUAUGUAUAUUUAACCAAUUGUAUAAGAAAUCUUUAAAUAAGAAUGUAAAAUGACUGUGUAAACUUGUGACUAGUAAUAAUUGAAGGUUAUUGGCAACGAAAUGUUGUUGUAAGCUUGUAGUGUAUCUUACGGAAUAUGCCCAUGACACGGGCAAGUCCUAGGAGCAAUACACAUUGGGUUCAGAGCUGGCUAGAAAUAACUUUUUCAGUUAUUUUGAAAUUUAACUUAGUCAUCUGCCAGAAUGCCUAUGAUGUUGGGGGCUAGAAUAAAUCUGCAGUAACUCAUUUUCUGUUGUAAAAGGCAAAUAA
RNAcentral lists this long non-coding RNA (1283 nucleotides) under Schistocerca americana (American grasshopper). Its description in RNAcentral is "uncharacterized LOC124607351, transcript variant X1". The record is from RNAcentral. Lineage: Eukaryota; Metazoa; Arthropoda; Insecta; Orthoptera; Acrididae.